AGUUAGGCUCUAAAGAUUAUGGAUAACCAAAGCUCGUGCUCAUGCCAUAUAUAUAGAUAGGAGUGAAAUUCAUAAUGAAAAAGAAGAAACAAAAAGAAAAAUAAAAGAUGAAACGUUAAGCUAGUCUUAAAGUUAAUUCAGCAACCGUUUCUCCGACAACGACGCCAGAAAGCUUGUUGGUAUUUUUUAAUAUACAUAGAAUAA
RNAcentral lists this long non-coding RNA (204 nucleotides) under Sorghum bicolor (sorghum). RNAcentral describes it as "long non-coding RNA (SBIC_LNC005288)". The record is from RNAcentral. Lineage: Eukaryota; Viridiplantae; Streptophyta; Magnoliopsida; Poales; Poaceae.